CCCUUAGAUGUUCGGAGCUGCACGCGCGCUACACUGAAGGAAGCAGCGUGUUAGAGCACCUGGCUUGAAAGAGCUGGGUAAUCCGGUGAAUGUCCUUCGUGAUUGGGAUAGGGACUUGUAAUUAUUUCCCUUGAACGAGGAAUACCUAGUAAGUGCAAGUCAUCAGCUUGCGCUGAUUACGUCCCUGCCCUUUGUACACACCGCCCGUCGCUACUACCGAUUGAAUGGUUUAGUGAGAUCUCUGGAUUGACGCUGGCUAGGGGGCGACCCUUGGCCAGACUGUUGAGAAACUGCUCAAACUUGAUCAUUUAGAGGAAGUAAAAGUCGUAACA
This 332-nucleotide ribosomal RNA is filed under the name uncultured eukaryote. RNAcentral describes it as "partial 18S ribosomal RNA". It matches the Rfam family "Eukaryotic small subunit ribosomal RNA", at positions 1470 to 1796 of the family's 1831-position model. The record is from RNAcentral.